This 1618-nucleotide unclassified non-coding RNA is filed under the name uncultured fungus. RNAcentral describes it as "sequence contains 18S rRNA gene, ITS1, 5.8S rRNA gene, ITS2, 28S rRNA gene". The stretch from base 633 to 1618 matches the Rfam family "Eukaryotic large subunit ribosomal RNA", at positions 1 to 961 of the family's 3401-position model. Lineage: Eukaryota; Fungi. The record is from RNAcentral.
GGAAGGAUCAUUAUCGUACAACCAGAGGGGUCAGGGCUGUCGCUGACCCUUUCGAGGGUCGUGCACGCCCUGGGCAUCCUCCCAUCGUCCAACCUUACCUUUGUGCAUCACCGCGUGGGCCCCCCUUUUAAAAGGGGGCUUGCGUUUUUCAAACAGACACCCUUCUGAUGCAGUACAGAAUGUCUUUCACUUUUUUUUUGCGAUAGUACGCAAUCAAUACAACUUUCAACAACGGAUCUCUUGGCUCUCGCAUCGAUGAAGAACGCAGCGAAAUGCGAUACGUAAUGUGAAUUGCAGAAUUCAGUGAAUCAUCGAAUCUUUGAACGCACCUUGCGCCCCUUGGCAUUCCGAGGGGCACACCCGUUUGAGUGUCGUGAAAUCCUCAACCUUCUCCCUUUCUUGUUGAAUUGGGGGAAAGGCUUGGACUUUGGAGGUAUCAUUUUUUGCUGGCCUCUUUCCACUUGAAGCCAGCUCCUCUUAAAGGAAUUAGUGGGAUCCCCUUUGCCGAUCCUUGACGUGAUAAGCUUUUGCAACCUCGUCUCGAGAGGUAGAGAAACCCUGCUUCUAAAUUGUCUCGUUUGAGACACGGGUGGUUUUGAAAGGUUUGCCCCUUUGACCCACCAAACCCCUUUUGACCUCAAAUCGGGUGAGACUACCCGCUGAACUUAAGCAUAUCAAUAAGCGGAGGAAAAGAAACUAACAAGGAUUCCCCUAGUAACUGCGAGUGAAGCGGGAAAAGCUCAAAUUUAAAAUCUGGCGGUCUUUGGCUGUCCGAGUUGUAAUUUAGAGAAGCGUCUUCCGCGCCGGACCGUGCACAAGUCUCCUGGAAUGGAGCGUCAUAGAGGGUGAGAAUCCCGUCUUUGGCAUGGAACCCCCGGGGCUUCUGUGAUGCGCUCUCAAAGAGUCGAGUUGUUUGGGAAUGCAGCUCAAAAUGGGUGGUGAACUCCAUCUAAAGCUAAACAUUGGCGAGAGACCGAUAGCGAACAAGUACCGUGAGGGAAAGAUGAAAAGCACUUUGGAAAGAGAGUGAAACAGUACGUGAAAUUGUUGAAAGGGAAACGCUUGGAGUCAGUCGCGUCGACCGAGACUCAGCCUUGCCUCGGCUUGGUGUACUUCUCGGCUGACGGGCCAGCAUCAAUUCGGUCCCUCAGAUAAUGGCAAGGGAAAGGUGGCACCCUUAUGGGUGUGUUAUAGUCCCCCGUCGCAUGUGAGGGGUGGGAUUGAGGAACUCAGCACGCGCCUCUCGGUGUCGGGGCUUCGGCCCACGUUUAACGUGCUUAGGAUGCUGGCGUAAUGGCUCCAAACGACCCGUCUUGAAACACGGACCAAGGAGUCUAACAUGCCUGCGAGUGUUCGGGUGGAAAACUCGUGCGCGAAAUGAAAGUGAAAGUUGGGACCUCUGUCGUGGAGGGCACCGACGCCCGGACCAGACCUUCUGUGACGGAUCUGCGGUAGAGCAUGCAUGUUGGGACCCGAAAGAUGGUGAACUAUGCCUGAAUAGGGUGAAGCCAGAGGAAACUCUGGUGGAGGCUCGUAGCGAUUCUGACGUGCAAAUCGAUCGUCAAAUUUGGGUAUAGGGGCGAAAGACUAAUCGAACCAUCUAGUAGCUGGUUCCUGC